This 498-nucleotide ribosomal RNA is filed under the name uncultured bacterium. Its description in RNAcentral is "partial 16S ribosomal RNA". It matches the Rfam family "Bacterial small subunit ribosomal RNA", at positions 28 to 507 of the family's 1533-position model. The record is from RNAcentral.
GACGAACGCUGGCGGCGUGCCUAAUACAUGCAAGUCGAGCGAACCAAUAAGAAGCUUGCUUUUUGUUGGUUAGCGGCGGACGGGUGAGUAACACGUGGGUAACCUGCCUGUAAGACCGGGAUAACUCCGGGAAACCGGUGCUAAUACCGGAUAGAUUAUCUUUCCGCAUGGAGAGAUAAGGAAAGAUGGCUAUUGCCAUCACUUACAGAUGGGCCCGCGGCGCAUUAGCUAGUUGGUGAGGUAACGGCUCACCAAGGCGACGAUGCGUAGCCGACCUGAGGGGGUGAUCGGCCACACUGGGACUGAGACACGGCCCAGACUCCUACGGGAGGCAGCAGUAGGGAAUCUUCCGCAAUGGACGAAAGUCUGACGGAGCAACGCCGCGUGAGCGAAGAAGGUCUUCGGAUCGUAAAGCUCUGUUGUUAGGGAAGAACAAGUAUCGGAGGAAAUGCCGGUACCUUGACGGUACCUGACGAGAAAGCCACGGCUAACUACGUG